This is a long non-coding RNA of Fukomys damarensis (Damara mole-rat), 593 nucleotides long. RefSeq lists it as uncharacterized. The record is from RefSeq and is a predicted model, not a curated record. Lineage: Eukaryota; Metazoa; Chordata; Mammalia; Rodentia; Bathyergidae. The transcript has 3 exons.
AUCUCUCCCUGCACCAGUCCAAGCCAUCAGUCUUUGCAAACCGGUCAAAUGUCCCCUGUCAUUUGCAUUCCAGAGGCAGCAGGGAAGGUCAACCUUGUCCCAGGAAAGUCAGGGGUAGAGAGGCAGAAGUCUCAGAAGGGGAAAGUGGAAGACACUUAAGCCUUGUAAACACCGGCGAUGCCAGCCUGCCUCGAGCUGCCCCCAAUCCCGUCUGUUUUCUGUAGCACGGAUGGCAUCAAGUGCGAGGACAGGCCCCUCAGCAUCUCCACCGUGGGAAAGUUCAUCUCCCCCUGGGUGUUCUGCUGCUGUGAACCUUUGAGAUAUUUUCUGAGAAGAACCUGCAUUUCUACAGAUGGCAUGGAAAAAAAAAAAUGAAGGCUGCAGAACACACCAUUAUUCCUGAGAGCCUCUCAGUUCAUUAGUUGAAGCAGCCAAGUCUUCACGAGCCACAACUGAUCAGCAAAUGGGAAAUGAGCGAGAGUAUAAAUUCCCAGCAAACCAAAUCAUUAACAUUUGCUGCCUGCAUCCUGGAAACACAGUAAAUCAAAUGUGUCAUCAUUUAUCAAGACAAAAUAUCAUUACUAAUUGGGAUU